GGGGAAUCAUGCGCAAUGGGCGAAAGCCUGACGCAGCCAUGCCGCGUGGAUGAUGAAGGUCUUAGGAUUGUAAAAUCCUUUCAGCGGGGACGAUAAUGACGGUACCCGCAGAAGAAGCCCCGGCUAACUUCGUGCCAGCAGCCGCGGUAAUACGAAGGGGGCUAGCGUUGCUCGGAAUUACUGGGCGUAAAGGGCGCGUAGGCGGACAGUUCAGUCGGGGGUGAAAGCCCGGGGCUCAACCCCGGAAUUGCCUUCGAUACUGGCUGUCUUGAGUAUGAGAGGGGUGUGUGGAACUCCGAGUGUAGAGGUGAAAUUCGUAGAUAUUCGGAAGAACACCAGUGGCGAAGGCGACACACUGGCUCAUUACUGACGCUGAGGCGCGAAAGCGUGGGGAGCAAAC
This 400-nucleotide ribosomal RNA is filed under the name uncultured bacterium. RNAcentral's name for it is "bacterial SSU rRNA". It matches the Rfam family "Bacterial small subunit ribosomal RNA", at positions 356 to 773 of the family's 1533-position model. The record is from RNAcentral.